GGGAUGACAAUGUCACGAGAAACUGUGACGUUUGAAAGAUUUUGAAAUUUUUUUCACGACGGCAUAAGUGACUACGUCGGCAUUACAUACAGAAAAAAUGACGCACUCACUUAUGGUGUUGCAACUGGGGGUUCUCAUGACAUUUUCAGACUGCAUCGAGAGAACCCCUAUUAUUAAAGUUCUGUGUUCAUAGAACACAUAACACAAAAUGAGAGAAAAGAAAAAAGAGAAAGGUGAAACGAAAGAGAAGUUUCGUCGUCCGUUUUCCGUGAGUUGUCCAUCGUCGCGAUAUAUUUAAAUUAAUUAGGUUGCUCAAAAUCUAUCUUUAGGUUGCUCAAAAUCUCUACUAUCUCAAAGUAAUAAAUUAAUUUAGAUACUUAUCUAUUUGUUAAAUUUAAUAAGAUUUUUUUUUCUUUUUAAUGGUCUUUUUCAAAGUUAUUUUAGUGUGAAAUAAAUGAUAUAAUUUUUAAGUAGAUAUGUAAAAGAAAAGUAAUAUUUACUAAGAUAUCAUAAAAAUAUAAACAUGCAUCAUAUAAAAUGUCCAGUAUAUAAGAAGACAUUGUACCAAUUCAAAUAAAUUGUAUAGUAUAUUUUUUUUCAUGUUUGGCAAAUUUAUUGAUAUUUGGGAAAUUUUCUUACUUGUCUAUGUUUUAAAUAGAAAAUUGUUUAGAACGUUCAUAAUUACCUAAACUUCAUUUACAUUCGUCUUUCGUUACUGCCAUUACUAUUAUUUAUAUAUUUUUGAAGGAAUGAAUGAUAAAGAAGAAUAGAAAAGUAAAUUGAAUAAGAUCUUGUGUAAAAUAAUAAAUCACUCAAUAACUCAUCUAAAAAAUAUAGAAAAAUAUUAACAAUUGUGUAAUUAGACGUAUUUAUUUAAUUUAGAAUACCAAUAACGACAUGAACAUGGUGUAAACGAGUUGGGUUGGGUUGGAUUGAGUGACAUUCUCAACCCAACCCAUGUCAACCCAAAUAACUCAAAUUAAUUUUUCAAUCCAAUUCGUAAAAUAUGGGUUGAGUUGGAUUAUUGAGUUGUAUUAUUUUUUUGAGAAAACCGUGAAAAUGGCAAAAUAAUAGAUAAGAAUUUAAAAAAUAUCAAAUCCAAAAAAUAUUUUGAUUUACAGCAAAACGGUCUGAUGUAGACAUUUUUUUUUAUUUUUUACCUCUGUAUAGAGAUAAAUUCUUCUUAGAUAGAUACACUGUAUUCAUGUAGGUUAAAAUGAUGAAAUAUAACCCGUAACCCAGAAUCACGGAUAGAGUGUAUUUGCAAAUCAGUUUUGUAAAAAUAUUAAAUAAAUAUUUAUUUUUGGGAUGGAUAUGAUUAAAUCAACAUUCAAGAUUUAUGCUUGCAAUUUAUUCCAGAUUUUCUAAUUUGUAGGUUUCAAAUCAAAUAAUUAACAAUUUAUUUAGUUGUGGUUGUUAAAAUUAAAAUUGUAUCUUAUCCCUAUAAUUCUAAGAAAAUUUUGAUCUUCACCGUGCUACUUGAUUGAUUUACCUAAACUUUUCAUAUUUCUAAUAACAAUUUAUUUAGCAUAAUAAUAAAUUGAAAUUAAAAUUGUAUCUUACUCCUAUAAUUAUGAUGCAUUUAACGUAUAUAUUACUCUUAGAAAAUUUUAAUCUUCCCCUAUAAUCGUGCUACUUGAUUGAUUUUCCGUAGAAUAAGGUUAAACAUAAUUUCAAAAUUUUAUAUUAUCUCGUUAAUAGCCUUUAUCUAUUUUUCAUAAUUGUUAUUUAAAAAUAUAUUUUAAAUUUUGAUUUGAAACAACAAGAAAACUAAAAUUUUCUUUUAAAAUUUAUAAAUAUAGCUAGGUAUUGUUAAUCAUAUUUUGAAUUAAAAAUUUUAUCAUCCCUAAAAUCGUGUUAAGAUUAUCCACUUAUAUUAUUAAAAACAUUAUCAUCCCAUAACUCGUGCUAUUUGAUUUAUAUCUCUAAAAUAUAUGGCAAACAUAAAUUCAACAUUUUUGUAUUAUUUAUAUUCCAAAAUAUUUAUAAAAAUUGAAUAUUUUAUUUUUGAAAGGAAUUAAUUGAGAAGAGAUGAUUUGUUUUAUUUAAAUUGGAAAAGAAAGAUAUUUAAGGGAAAAGAAUAAUAAUAAUAAUAUUUAUAUACCUAUGUGUUCUCCAUCCAUCUCAUUAUUCAUCAUCUCCUUCACUCUCACCAAACCCUAGCCGGUGACGACACUUCCAUCUUCAUUCGAGUGUUCUUCGUAUCAUCGAGAUCUCCACCUUCGUAGCCAUCCCCUCUGUUUUGUUGACGGAGAAUUGAGCCGCAAUGAAACGUCUCCUCCGUUGCAUGCUACUAGACGUGUUUUUACUUCAUCGGAAGCUGAACGCCUUUGUGCUGCUUGUUCCUUCGUGCGUCGCACGCCCAGCCGCGUCGAUCUCCUUCAUCACCAUUUGUUUGUCGGUUUUGCCGAAACUUUGCUAGACGCUAUCAAUUGUCGGGUUUUAUUGACUUUUUGGUUGUUGGAAUUUUGUUCUAGUUUUCCUUAAUUAUCCCUUGUAGUUAAAAUAAUAUUAAUUAUUUUUAGAUCUUUUGGAAGAGACCAAAGAAGAUAGAAGACGGAAAGGGAGAAUACAAGGUAUGUGGUUGAUGUUUGCUAUCGAAUACAUUGUAUUUGGGUGUAAUUACACUAUUUGUCAAACUUCCAACCGCCGUCAAUUGUCGUAUUCUAGUGAGUUUGAGGUUUGAUCUCGAAUACAAUGUAUUUGGAUGUAAGUACACUGUAUCUGGCCUAAAAUCAGGGGAUAUAUUGUUGCUGUAAUUUAAAAGAAUAAUUAAAUAAUAAAAAAUAAUUAUAUUCACAACCUUAAUGUGCG
RNAcentral lists this long non-coding RNA (2814 nucleotides) under Cucumis sativus (cucumber). Its description in RNAcentral is "long non-coding RNA (CSAT_LNC001175)". Lineage: Eukaryota; Viridiplantae; Streptophyta; Magnoliopsida; Cucurbitales; Cucurbitaceae. The record is from RNAcentral.